GCACUGCUGAGGAGUCCGACAAUAGGACAAAACGGCAGUCCAGUGC
Schistosoma mansoni is the source of this 46-nucleotide non-coding RNA. Lineage: Eukaryota; Metazoa; Platyhelminthes; Trematoda; Strigeidida; Schistosomatidae. The record is from Rfam.